This 325-nucleotide ribosomal RNA is filed under the name uncultured eukaryote. RNAcentral describes it as "partial 18S ribosomal RNA". It matches the Rfam family "Eukaryotic small subunit ribosomal RNA", at positions 1470 to 1796 of the family's 1831-position model. The record is from RNAcentral.
CCCUUAGAUGUUCUGGGCCGCCCGCGCGCUACACUGAUGCAUUCAACGAGCCUAUCCUUGACCGACAGGUCCGGGUAAUCUUUGAAUCUGCAUCGUGACGGGGAUAGAUUAUUGCAAUUAUUAAUCUUCAACGAGGAAUGCCUAGUAGGCGCAAGUCAUCAGCUUGCGUCGAUUACGUCCCUGCCCUUUGUACACACCGCCCGUCGCUCCUACCGAUUGGGUGUGCUGGUGAAAUGUUCGGAUCGGCCGUUUGUCGCGGUUUCCGCGGCUCGUGGCUGAGAAGUUCAUUAAACCCUCCCACCUAGAGGAAGGAGAAGUCGUAACA